This 448-nucleotide ribosomal RNA is filed under the name uncultured bacterium. RNAcentral describes it as "bacterial SSU rRNA". It matches the Rfam family "Bacterial small subunit ribosomal RNA", at positions 355 to 825 of the family's 1533-position model. The record is from RNAcentral.
UAGGGAAUAUUGGACAAUGGGUGAGAGCCUGAUCCAGCCAUGCCGCGUGCAGGAAGAAGGCGUUAUGGUUGUAAAGCUCUUUUCGGCGGGGAAGAUAAUGACGGUACCCGCAGAAGAAGCCCCGGCUAACUCUGUGCCAGCAGCCGCGGUAAUACAGAGGGGGCAAGCGUUAAUCGGAUUUACUGGGCGUAAAGCGUGCGUAGGCGGCUUUUUAAGUCGGAUGUGAAAUCCCCGGGCUCAACCUGGGAAUUGCAUUCGAUACUGGCAAGCUAGAGUAUGGGAGAGGAAGGUAGAAUUCCAGGUGUAGCGGUGAAAUGCGUAGAGAUCUGGAGGAAUACCGAUGGCGAAGGCAGCCUUCUGGCCUAAUACUGACGCUGAGGUGCGAAAGCAUGGGGAGCAAACAGGAUUAGAUACCCCCGUAGUCCCUGAGCGGGCUGGCAAGGCGCAU